AUUGAUGACGGCCUUCGGGUUGUAAACCUCUUUCAGCAGGGAAGAAGGCCUUCGGGUGGACGGUACCUGCAGAAGGAGCGCCGGCUAACUACGUGCCAGCAGCCGCGGUAAUACGUAGGGCGCAAGCGUUGUCCGGAAUUAUUGGGCGUAAAGAGCUCGUAGGCGGUUUGUCGCGUCUGGUGUGAAAUCCCGAGGCUCAACCUCGGGCUUGCAUCGGGUACGGGCAGACUAGAGUACUGUAGGGGAGACUGGAAUUCCUGGUGUAGCGGUGGAAUGCGCAGAUAUCAGGAGGAACACCGAUGGCGAAGGCAGGUCUCUGGGCAGUUACUGACGCUGAGGAGCGAAAGCAUGGGGAGCGAACAGGAUUAGAUACCCUGGUAGUCCAUGCCGUAAACGUUGGGCACUAGGUGUGGGGCUCAUUCCACGAGUUCCGUGCCGCAGCUAACGCAUUAAGUGCCCCGCCUGGGGAGUACGG
This 475-nucleotide ribosomal RNA is filed under the name uncultured Actinomycetes bacterium. RNAcentral's name for it is "bacterial SSU rRNA". It matches the Rfam family "Bacterial small subunit ribosomal RNA", at positions 404 to 885 of the family's 1533-position model. The record is from RNAcentral. Lineage: Bacteria; Bacillati; Actinomycetota; Actinomycetes.